This is a long non-coding RNA of Homarus americanus (American lobster), 686 nucleotides long. RefSeq lists it as uncharacterized. The record is from RefSeq and is a predicted model, not a curated record. NCBI's taxonomy places the organism in Eukaryota, Metazoa, Arthropoda, Malacostraca, Decapoda, Nephropidae. The transcript has 3 exons.
GUUUGUUCUGUCAUUUUAUCCAUCGAAUUUCUUCAUUCUUUAAUAUUAGUCUGUGACUUCGUCUAAAAAAAUUAUAAUAAAUAGUUUAACAAAUAUUUCAAACUUGGUACAGUAGUAAAGUUAUUGUUUGUGUCAAUCCUUGUUGACGUGAGCCAACACUUACGGCCUUAACACCUCAAUUUGGUAGUGAAAUGCCUAAGUUUUCCGGUGCUUCAGCUACUCAAAAAAACGCCAAUAGACCUGAAAUUCAGUAACAAUCUGCUGCAUAGCCUGAAUGAAAAGUUAAACCACAAUUUUCAUUAGUUCAGUAACAAUGUUGUCGGAGAUCAGGACAAACUUACUAACAAACCUUCCCUUUAAAUUUAUUGUUGUUGUCUUUGGGAGAAUUAAAGAGCUCGGCUCGCACACUGAAAUAUUUCACGUAUUUGUUAAGUAACAUAAUCUAUGAUGGUAUAGAUGUACGGAAGAAAUGAAAACAAGAAUAGGCCGGAACAAUUGGUGCAGAGCACUUCCGGGAAUGAGAGAUUUCCGGGUAACGAGACGACUCUCUGAAAGCCAGAAUAAAAUCCCUCAUCUCCGGAAUUUUCAAGCACGUGCGGAAGUGUACAAUGAGACAUCACCCACUACAGCAGCAGGCAAGGUUGGCUGUGACUCUCAGGAGGUCAAGAUGACUGAGGCAGAGAAAA